CCGAGUCUCUGAGUAAAUGUAUCUCCAACACGCUUUAUCCUCCCUCUGUGCGCCGCGUUCCCGUCCAGGUAUCAACCUCCACAACCAAGAGCGCACAGCGUGGCUCCGCAGAAGGUUCACCAGAUUUGCUCUGAUGUGUGGAUCGAUACCUUGAAGGUGAAUUCAUGCUCCCUCGCCAAAUCGAAGUCCAACACGCGGAGAGUCUCGCUCAGCCGAACCUUUUCAGCGUGUGCGUUUCACUGGCUGGACUGAACCCGGGGAAGGAGCCGUCUCUGCGGACUACCUUGCUCCUUCAGCCAAUCCAAGUGCUCCGGCGAGUGGCGGCGCUGUAUCAAAACCUGGCCCGGACAGCAGCGAGGAAUGGAAGCUGUUUAUUAAAUGCAUGGCGAAUACAAGUUCUGGAUUUAGAAGAAACAGUCAAUCAAAAGUGUGACAUAAGAAGAAAAUGUGGUCUUCCCUAUAACUCUGUCUCAACGAAUAUGAGACGGAGUUGUCUCUGCUUCAAAUUAUCUGCUAUCUGCUUAAAAAAAUAUUUCUCAUAAAUUUUGAAUAUUACAGAAUACCAGUUCUUAAAAGACUUAUAAUGUAAAAAUGUAACCUCACAUGCACCUACUUAAUCACACAUGUAUAAAAUAUUUUGCCUGGACUCCGUUUGCAUGACUUACUAUAUUAGUGUGAAAUAACAUUGAAUUAGUCACCCUGUCACUCUGCUGAGGUGUUAAAAAGCCCAGGUAGCUUUAUUAACACCCUUCAGCUCAUCUGCAGUGUUGAGUCUGUUUUUUUUCCCCUCUUGUCAUAAAUUCAUUAGGAGGGUUUAGGUCAGAAGAGUUUGCUGGCCAAUAAGUCACAGUGCUAUGAUGAUUAUUUUAUGAGCAGGUCUGAACUCCUGCUGGAAAACUAAAUGAGCGUCUCUGUAAGACUUGUCAGCAGAGAGAAGCACAAAAUGCUCUGUAAUUUUCUGGUAGAUGGCUGCGCUGACUUUGGAGUUCAUAAAAUGGUAAACCAACACCCACAGAUGACAUGGUUCCUCAAAUAUGAAAACUUCAUCCUGGACUUCAAACUUGGAUUCUGUGCCUCCACUUUCUUCAUAAUCGACCUGUUCCUCGAGACGCCUGCGAAGGGUUUUUUAAAAGGUUUUGUUGGCUCUAGUGGCCUUUAUUUGAAAGUAGUUUGACAGGAAACAGGGUAAUCAGAGAGGGGAAAGACAUGCCAUCCUGGCAAAUGUUGCCAGGCUGGGAAUCGAACCUGCGACCACCGCCACGAGGACUAAGGCCUCAAUACGUGGGUCGUGCUUUGCCCCUUCACCACCACAGCACCCCAACUGUGAAGUGGUUCUUGUGCAUUCCCCAGAGCAGCCCUUUCAAAGCUGUGAUUAUCCAUGUUGCUUAUGCAUCUUUUUCAAAUGCACUUUUUCCUUUUGCUCAACUUUCUAUUAACAUGCUGUGAACAAAGAGCUUUUUUUUGCAAACUUUUUUUUAUUUAUUUUAAUUAGCUAAAUAAAUGCUUAAAUUACA
Xiphophorus hellerii (green swordtail) is the source of this 1514-nucleotide long non-coding RNA. RefSeq lists it as uncharacterized. The transcript is spliced from 2 exons. Lineage: Eukaryota; Metazoa; Chordata; Actinopteri; Cyprinodontiformes; Poeciliidae. The record is from RefSeq and is a predicted model, not a curated record.